GCCGGCGGGGCCGGCCUGGGCGGCGGCGACGAUGUCGUCGUCGUGCCACUCGGUGCCGAUGCCGUUGACGCGGAUCGUCACGGUGCGCCGGCC
Molecule: transfer RNA, 93 nt
Filed under: Nocardioides sp. OK12
Lineage: Bacteria; Bacillati; Actinomycetota; Actinomycetes; Propionibacteriales; Nocardioidaceae
Description: tRNA-Asp
Source: RNAcentral